This is a non-coding RNA of Podarcis lilfordi (Lilford's wall lizard), 72 nucleotides long. The record is from the annotation of a GenBank genome assembly. Lineage: Eukaryota; Metazoa; Chordata; Lepidosauria; Squamata; Lacertidae.
UAAUAACUCAGUCGGUAGAGCAUGAGAUUCUUGAUUUCAGGAUUAUGGGUUUGAGGCCCACGUUGGGCAAAA